AGCGCAGGCGGGAAGACAAGUUGGAAGUGAAAUCCAUGGGCUCAACCCAUGAACUGCUUUCAAAACUGUUUUUCUUGAGUAGUGCAGAGGUAGGCGGAAUUCCCGGUGUAGCGGUGGAAUGCGUAGAUAUCGGGAGGAACACCAGUGGCGAAGGCGGCCUACUGGGCACCAACUGACGCUGAGGCUCGAAGGUGUGGGUAGCAAACA
RNAcentral lists this ribosomal RNA (207 nucleotides) under uncultured bacterium. Its description in RNAcentral is "partial 16S ribosomal RNA". It matches the Rfam family "Bacterial small subunit ribosomal RNA", at positions 568 to 774 of the family's 1533-position model. The record is from RNAcentral.